RNAcentral lists this ribosomal RNA (403 nucleotides) under Bacteroidota bacterium. RNAcentral describes it as "Bacteroidetes bacterium partial 16S ribosomal RNA". It matches the Rfam family "Bacterial small subunit ribosomal RNA", at positions 355 to 776 of the family's 1533-position model. The record is from RNAcentral. Lineage: Bacteria; Pseudomonadati; Bacteroidota.
UGGGGAAUCUUGCACAAUGGGGGCAACCCUGAUGCAGCGACGCCGCGUGAGCGAUGAAGGUUUUCGAAUCGUAAAGCUCUGUCCUAUGGGAAGAUAAUGACGGUACCAUAGGAGGAAGCCCCGGCUAACUACGUGCCAGCAGCCGCGGUAAUACGUAGGGGGCGAGCGUUGUCCGGAAUUACUGGGCGUAAAGGGUUCGCAGGCGGCAUGGCAAGUCCGAUGUAAAAGGCGAAGGCUUAACCUUCGUAAGCAUCGGAAACUGUCAAGCUUGAGUGAAGGAGAGGCAAGUGGAAUUCCUAGUGUAACGGUGGAAUGCGUAGAUAUUAGGAGGAAUACCGGUGGCGAAGGCGACUUGCUGGACUUCAACUGACGCUGAGGAACGAAAGCGUGGGUAGCAAACAGG